This 424-nucleotide ribosomal RNA is filed under the name uncultured bacterium. RNAcentral describes it as "bacterial SSU rRNA". It matches the Rfam family "Bacterial small subunit ribosomal RNA", at positions 359 to 774 of the family's 1533-position model. The record is from RNAcentral.
GAAUAUUGGACAAUGGGCGGAGGCCUGAUCCAGCCAUGCCGCGUGUGUGAAGAAGGCCUUUUGGUUGUAAAGCACUUUAAGCGAGGAGGAGGCUACUUAGAUUAAUACUCUAGGAUAGUGGACGUUCCUCGCAGAAUAAGCACCGGCUAACUCUGUGCCAGCAGCCGCGGUAAUACAGAGGGUGCAAGCGGUACUCGGAGUUACUGGGCGUAAAGCGCGCGUGGGUGGCCAAUUAAGUCAAAUGUGAAAUCCCCGAGCUUAACUUGGGAAUUGCAUUCGAUACUGGUUGGCUAGAGUAUGGGAGAGGAUGGUAGAAUUCCAGGUGUAGCGGUGAAAUGCGUAGAGAUCUGGAGGAAUACCGAUGGCGAAGGCAGCCAUCUGGCCUAAUACUGACACUGAGGUGCGAAAGCAUGGGGAGCAAACA